Molecule: ribosomal RNA, 472 nt
Filed under: uncultured bacterium
Lineage: Bacteria
Description: bacterial SSU rRNA
Rfam family: Bacterial small subunit ribosomal RNA
Source: RNAcentral
AUCCAGACUCCUACGGGAGGCAGCAGUUAGGAAUAUUCGUCAAUGGGGGAAACCCUGAACGAGCAAUGCCGCGUGAGUGAUGAAGGCCCUAUGGGUUGUAAAACUCUGUUGUAAAGGAAGAAUACCUAGUAUAGGAAAUGAUGCUAGGAUGACGGUACUUUACCAGAAAGCCCCGGCUAACUACGUGCCAGCAGCCGCGGUAAUACGUAGGGGGCGAGCGUUAUCCGGAUUUAUUGGGCGUAAAGGGUGUGUAGGCGGCUUGUUAAGUCUAAAAUCAAAGCCCGGGGCUUAACCUCGGUUCGUUUUAGAAACUGGCAAACUAGAGUGCAGUAGAGGCAAGUGGAAUUUCUAGUGUAGCGGUUAAAUGCGUAGAUAUUAGAAGGAACACCAGUGGCGAAGGCGGCUUGCUGGGCUGUUACUGACGCUGAGACACGAAAGCGUGGGGAGCAAAUAGGAUUAGAUACCCUGGUAA